CACAUAAAAAAAAUUGAAAUAAAAAAUAAAAUAAGUGAAUGUAAUACGCGUCCGUACAAAACACUUUUGUACAUUGUAUUUAUUUACUUCUUAAUAAUAAGAAGAUAAUGCAUCAUCGUUUAUGUGUGUAAGCAACUGAUAAAAUGGGACUUUACAACCCCUGAGCUUUCAGGCCCUUGAGUCAGUAUGAAGCAUAAAGUGACCACCACAAAUACUCAAAAAACAACCACAAAGAGACACCAAACAACCACAAAGAGACACAAAAAAACACGGAGACACCAAAUAAACACAAAGAGACACCAAACAAUAAUACUAUUUGUAUUAGUUUUUUGUGUCUUUCAGUUUCCCAUGUUGGCGGACUGGGUCGCCUAUCUUUGCAAAGGGGCCUAAUUUUUUUCACGAUCUUUCCAUGGCUGACCCAUCCGAAACACACUUCAAGUUAUCCUGGUUGACUAUGGUCAAAGCAUUUGGUAACCAAAUUACAAUAAAUAUAUAUUGUCACUCUUGAAGUUUCGAGCCAUGGAGAUAUUUUUGGUGGCAAAAUGGCUCCACAGCACCACCUAAAACGCAGCAAUUCUGUCUGGUUUAACCAAUCUUCAGGAAACUUGGUUCACACGUGUAUCAUGACUGGAUGAAAGAAAACAAUCGCCAACAAUUUGAUUAACGCAAGUCAGAAAGAAGCUGAGAAACUAGUCCAUGCAUUAGUUUCCCUCUUCACUGGAUUACUGUAAAUCUCUAUCAUCAGGAUCUCUCCAGCUGGUCCAAAAUGCUCAGCACGAGUAACGACAGAAAUUCAAACAGAUCAAAUAACACCUGUUUAAGCUUCUCUACAUUGGCUACCUGUAAAGCAGAAUAUAAAUCAAGAUCCUGCUCCUAACAUACAAAGCAAUUAACAUCCAUCCCCUUCAUAUAUCAAAGAGCUCAUAACACUGUCACAAUAGAUCACUUUGCUCCUAAAACACAGGCUCUCUUGUGGUUCCUAGAGUCUGUAAGAAUAGAAUAGGAGGUGUAGCCUUCAGCUACCAAGCUCCUCUCCUGUGGAACCAGCUCCCACUGUUGGCUCAGGAGACACACUCUCAAAAGUGGAUUUGAGUAAUAGUUGAAGUAAUGUAAAGCUUUGAGUGAAUCUCACUUAGUUUUCUGCUUUAGUGGUGGCAGUCCACAUGUGUGUACUUUAUCAACUUAAUAAAACAGCUUUUUCCUUUAAUGCACAUUUCUAAUUGGAGUCAAAGCGCCUCAUUUAAGUUAACCAUUUUGCGUAUGACUUCAUGACGUCAACUUCUAAUGUCUCCGGCGAGAUUUCUUCAACCGAUGUCCGCCUACUUUCUUUUCAAACAAGCAGAGCCAAGCCAUGUUUGUUUCGGCGGCCCUCGUAUUUUCGUCGGGAAGUAUGGAGUCGAGUCUCGCUGUGUGAAAGCACCACAGACGUUCCAGGUGGUUACUUGAGCCCAGGACACAAGAUUCACUUAAGGGAACAGCGGUGUGCCCAUUGACAGCUCAGCAGCAAUGCAACCGAGAGACCAUACGUCGAUGUUCCCGCUGAAAGGAUCUUCAUACAGAAUCUCAGGAGACCUUAGGAUGAGAAACACAAACAUAUUACUGAGGUUUAAAAUUUGUUUAACUCCUUGUUACUGUCAGUUUCUGAGAUAUAAACCUGACAUGCCAGUGUACAGGACUUGUUCAAUUAUUUACAGCAAACACAACUGUCCCAGGUAUACAGAUGUGCUGUCAGUUACUUACCUGUAACACAAGGUCUGGAGGGUUUCACCGAUCAUUUCCUCAGGAUCAUCGAAGGAUAUGCCAAAGUCAAAGUCUUUAACUUUGAGUGGCUGCCUGACAUGAUCCACCAACAUGAUGUUAUCUGGCUUCAAAUCUGCAUGAAUGAUCCCUGCACUGUUCACUAAAGUUCAAGGCUGUAGCUAGCUGAAAUCAUGAAAAGCAUAAUAAUAAUCAUGAGCUACAGAGUUCAUUUCAUCAACAACAACUGUAACGACCAAGUUUACCCUUCACGCUACAAAGCAGUUAGUGUAAGAGCUUGAGUUUAAAAAACAACCUGCUGCAGAAUGGGGCGGAUCUGCUUCAGCUGAAGGUGUUGACCCGGGCUGAUCUGUUUGAAUUUAUGCAGAUCCAUAUCCAGGAGCUCAAACACAAGACAGUAAUGUUCCUUGUAGAAGAGAGACUCGUACAAUUUGACAAUGUUGAACCUGUCUGAGUGGAGCUUCUUCAUGGUUUGAAGGAGGACCUCCUCUUCUUGUGCACAGUCAAUGUUUUCGAGGCUUUGGAUGAUUUUUAAAGCCACCGUUUCACCGGUGGUCACAUUCCUGCAUUGGAUGACCAUACCAUAGGCGCCUUGGCCAAGGUAUUUCUGUGCAAGGUAAUAUGUAGUGGGGGAGGGGAUCAGGUCUCCUUCGAUGAUAUUAAACUCACUUGUUUGAGACAUGGUGACGGAGUAGUUAUGCUGUUGAUGUUUCACACUUGUCAGGAGAAUAGAAAAGGAAGUUAGAUGCAGCCAACUAUGCCAGUUCCUAUCAGCCAUGUAGGUAGAAUAAGAGUGUACACACCAUUAAGCUCAGUCCUUGUGUGAAACUCUAUAAGUACUAAAAGUAAAGCUUAGUAAAGUAAGACACUUUAAAGACAGGUCAUGAGACAGCUUUAAGAUCUAAUUAGUUUAAAGCCACAUCUGUCACAUUGUAUGAACUCCAUGCCUUUGUAAUGAUUUCCUUUUUUCAUGUGAAUUUUCUUUCUUUUCUUUUCAUCAUGAUUCUUUCAUUUGAAUCUUUGUCAACCAUCAUGAUUUACACACACUCAUGAAAAAAUGAUUCAUUGGGUGAAUAUAAUUUUAUCUUCUUUAUCUGUGUGGGUGGAAUGUCAUUUGAAUAUGUUCAUUCAACUAAUGUGCUUUUAAUUGAAUUAAAAUGUU
This is a long non-coding RNA of Pleuronectes platessa (European plaice), 2920 nucleotides long. RefSeq lists it as uncharacterized. The record is from RefSeq and is a predicted model, not a curated record. The transcript is spliced from 4 exons. Lineage: Eukaryota; Metazoa; Chordata; Actinopteri; Pleuronectiformes; Pleuronectidae.